GGCUGCUGGUCGACGAAGGACGCGGCGGCGGCCUGCGCGGCGGCGAGCCGGGUCGGCUCGACGUCGGUGGCGGCCA
This 76-nucleotide transfer RNA is filed under the name Catellatospora chokoriensis. Its description in RNAcentral is "tRNA-Arg". The record is from RNAcentral. Lineage: Bacteria; Bacillati; Actinomycetota; Actinomycetes; Micromonosporales; Micromonosporaceae.